CUCUCAAGAGAAUGCCCAGGCUCCUAACCAUGUCUCAGACUGCCCUGCACCUCAGCCUCUGUCUCUGCACCCCCAGGCAUGUUCAACCUCUUGCAAUUCUUGCAUUCCCCAUAGUUCAUGACCCAACCUUUGCCCCCCUACCAGCUGGUCCUGGAAUACCCCCCAGGCUCGUUUGUGAACCCUCAGGAGUAUUCAUGUUCCAAAGUCGCAGCACUCUG
Molecule: long non-coding RNA, 218 nt
Filed under: Homo sapiens (human)
Lineage: Eukaryota; Metazoa; Chordata; Mammalia; Primates; Hominidae
Description: non-protein coding lnc-SPTLC1-5:1
Source: RNAcentral